Molecule: ribosomal RNA, 254 nt
Filed under: uncultured bacterium
Lineage: Bacteria
Description: partial 16S ribosomal RNA
Rfam family: Bacterial small subunit ribosomal RNA
Source: RNAcentral
UACAGAGGGUGCGAACGUUGCUCGGAAUUACUGGGCGUAAAGCGCGUGUAGGGCUGCUUCGCAAGUCGGAUGUGAAAGCCCUGGGCUCAACCCAGGAAGUGCAUUCGAAACUGCAGAGCUGGAGUCCUGGAGAGGAAGGCGGAAUUCUCGGUGUAGAGGUGAAAUUCGUAGAUAUCGAGAGGAACACCGGUGGCGAAGGCGGCCUUCUGGACAGUGACUGACGCUGAGACGCGAAAGCGUGGGGAGCAAACAGG